CGCGUAUUCAAUCUUCUUGUAAUAAAGCGGUAUUGCCGCUGACAUGCGAAUAAAUCGACAUAAAUUCUCAGAGACCUCAUCAUCCAUUUCCUGUUAUUUGCCAGGUUUCAGACUUCCAUGGACAGGCGAUGCUGAUCGUGCGUCGUUUACGCCCAGGGUGCCGAUGCUUUAAUGCCCAAACGUUGCGUUAACACGAUUUGCGAAAGAAACGACCAGUGUGAUGGAACAUGCGGCCCAGACUGCAAUAAUGGACAAUGCGAAUGUUUGCACGAUGACCUUCAAAGUGAGCAAAAGAAUGGAACGUGCCAAAGAAUAAUCAGUCAAUCCGUACCGCC
Molecule: long non-coding RNA, 335 nt
Organism: Paramacrobiotus metropolitanus
Lineage: Eukaryota; Metazoa; Tardigrada; Eutardigrada; Parachela; Macrobiotidae
Exons: 3
Source: RefSeq, a predicted model, not a curated record